RNAcentral lists this long non-coding RNA (2335 nucleotides) under Helianthus annuus (common sunflower). The record is from RNAcentral. Lineage: Eukaryota; Viridiplantae; Streptophyta; Magnoliopsida; Asterales; Asteraceae.
UGUAUUUCUUGUAAAUUUUGGAGAAAAAAGGUCUAUAUUGUUGAACAUAGCAAUUAGAUGGGAGUAUGCAGUAAGAUUAAUGGAUUAAAACAGGUCUAGGUUACAUGGUCAUUUUUAGUACAGGCUAGAAUGAACUGUGUUAACCCACAGUUACAUUUUGUUGAUUUUUUUUUUCAUAGUGAUAAUAGCAUAUUAUGAUUAAAAAUCAAAAUUACAUUGUUAUGAAAUAGGCAAAGAAUCUUUUAAAAGAAGAAUUCAUUCAUAAUUUCAUAUAUUGCGUAGGAAGGGCACCGGAUUCUUUAGAGGAAGCUCGAAAUAUUAAAGAGUGACUCUUCAUAAAUUGGCAGAUGGGUGACAUAACUUUUGCUUAUGUUCGAGUUGAUUGUGAUUAUCGUCGUUAAUAUAGGGAGACUUCCCUCACUGGGUUGAUUGUUUAACCACUUUUAUGUCUUUUUUAACAAAUACAUUAAACCAAGGAAAGAUUUGCAACUUCAUAUCUUGCAAAGUGGAGUGUUUGGGUUGGGUGUCUAAUAGUGUGUUUAUGGUAGAUUUUGUUUUCUUUUGUAUAAUUAAUGAACGAACUGAUGAGUUUGGCCUUCUAAUUAUCAAGAAAUGGUCAUGCUUGGAGGAUUCUACAUGGGAAUAAUAUAUUUUCAGGUAUGCUUUACUUGGAGCUGCCUCAUUCUUUGGAGGUUUAAUGCGAAUGGCAGUUACCCUAUGUGCUAUUAUCGUUGUAAUUUAUUAAUAGUUUUAAACUUUUACCUCUUAUCAUGCUUGUUUGAUUUGCCGGUACAGAACAAGUUGGACCCACAUCUGAAAAAAAAAAUGAAUACAUUAGUGAAACAAGCAACACUGAGGAUUUUGAAUUGGAUUAUUUGCUUGUUGAACCAUUUUUGGUGCUUCUACCAGUGACUUCAAAUUUGAUGGAAAUACAUUCCUUAAAGAAGAUGACCUUUUGAUGUUCAGCCAGAACCCAGCUUUGACAAUUUCCUAAGUAUUCAUUGUUUCUUAUGCCACCAAUCCAAUAGCUUGGAAUACAAUUCUUGAUUCAUUCGAUAACGAAUAUAUUUUCGAGUAUUCAGAAUUCAAAAAAUGAAACUCAUAAAGUGAGUGAACUGAAAAACAAUGAUGUUGCUUCCACUUCAAACCAAGAGCAUCCAGAUUCAGCAAUGGGUAACAUGGAAGGAACCCAUGUCAUUAUUUUUGGCUACGAUCAAAAUGGAAAAAAAAAGAAUGUCAUGGGAUUGACCCGACAAGUGUGGGCCCCACUAAGGGUAUCAUCAGCUCCUCAUUUAGUCCAAUUAGGCGUCAGUUUAAAAUGGUGAUUGGGUCGACCUUUUGACAUCACACGGGCCAAAGGUCUACCAAGUUUACAUAGUCACCUGUGUUUCUGAUUUUUGGCUACGAUCGAUCAUUCGUGUUUCUUUUUUUUUCUGUGUAAAGCAUCGACCAGGUGUUGAUCACCAACACCAACAUCAUUUACAUUUUAGUUCACCUACUCGAUCAUAAAAAUGGAAACAAAAAAAGAUGUGUCAUAGGACUGACCCGACAAGUGUGGGCCCUACUAAGGGUAACGGAGUAGGCGAAGUGAAGCAAGCAACAUGGGUAAAUUUGGAAAAACAACCUGCUGAUGAUGGUAACCUGUGUUAUGCCAUUCCAGAGGAUGCUGACUGAGGAUGAUAAUUGGACUGACCAGUGCAUUGACUUUGCAGUCAAAACAUUUGCAAAUGAAAUUUUGUUUAAUGGUCAGCCAAGUGGAGACUACAGGUGAAAUUUUGAUAAACUAACGUAAAUUAUCGACUCCGCUGCAACGCGCGUAAGCUUUAGAGGCAAAAGGGUGCUUAAGGUAUAUUAUGUUUUUUUGGUAACCCAUAACAUGUUCGCUUCGUUUGCAGCUCUAUGUACAUGUAAAUAAGUUUGAUUUUUCCAAGCAAUUUAACUUUUUAAACUAUUAUGGCAACAAGAAGUAUGCAUACCCGAGACCAGUGGCAGUGGCUGCGGCUCAAGUAGUGAUGUCGUGUUCACUUCUCUACUAUGUCGUUAGUGCACCAGGGGCGAUAUACAUUGUCUCAGUUGUGAUGGGAUCGUGUUACGGGGCCCAUUGGGCCAUUGUGCCAUCUGCUGUGUCAGAACUAUUCGGGCUAAAGAGUUUUGGUGCAUUGUAUAACUUUCUUACACUUGCUACCCCAGCCGGUUCACUAAUUUUCUCCGGCGUCAUUGCUAGCGGCAUUUAUGACUAUGAAACCAAGAUUCAAAGUGCUACAAACCUUAACACGCUCACAGAUGGCGAAGCACUGACGUGCUAUGGAACCAUAUGCUACUCCAUCACUUGCGG